RNAcentral lists this ribosomal RNA (395 nucleotides) under uncultured bacterium. RNAcentral's name for it is "bacterial SSU rRNA". It matches the Rfam family "Bacterial small subunit ribosomal RNA", at positions 29 to 453 of the family's 1533-position model. The record is from RNAcentral.
AACGAACGCUGGCGGCAGGCUUAACACAUGCAAGUCGAGCGCCCCGCAAGGGGAGCGGCAGACGGGUGAGUAACGCGUGGGAAUCUACCCAUCCCUACGGAAUAACCCAGGGAAACUUGGACUAAUACCGUAUACGACCGAGAGGUGAAAGAUUUAUCGGGGAUGGAUGAGCCCGCGUUGGAUUAGCUAGUUGGUGGGGUAAAGGCCUACCAAGGCGACGAUCCAUAGCUGGUCUGAGAGGAUGACCAGCCACACUGGGACUGAGACACGGCCCAGACUCCUACGGGAGGCAGCAGUGGGGAAUAUUGGACAAUGGGCGCAAGCCUGAUCCAGCCAUGCCGCGUGAGUGAUGAAGGCCCUAGGGUUGUAAAGCUCUUUCAACGGUGAAGAUAAUG